Molecule: ribosomal RNA, 874 nt
Filed under: uncultured bacterium
Lineage: Bacteria
Description: bacterial SSU rRNA
Rfam family: Bacterial small subunit ribosomal RNA
Source: RNAcentral
UCGACGCUUUGUCUUUAAUUGAUCUGACGAGCUUGCUCUGAUUUGAUUUUCUUUGACAAAGAGUGGCGAACGGGUGAGUAACACGUGGGUAACCUACCUCUUAGCAGGGGAUAACAUUUGGAAACAAGUGCUAAUACCGUAUAAUACCAACAACCGCAUGGUUGUUGGUUGAAAGAUGGUUCUGCUAUCACUAAGAGAUGGACCCGCGGUGCAUUAGCUAGUUGGUAAGGUAACGGCUUACCAAGGCAAUGAUGCAUAGCCGAGUUGAGAGACUGAUCGGCCACAAUGGGACUGAGACACGGCCCAUACUCCUACGGGAGGCAGCAGUAGGGAAUCUUCCACAAUGGGCGCAAGCCUGAUGGAGCAACGCCGCGUGUGUGAUGAAGGGUUUCGGCUCGUAAAACACUGUUAUAAGAGAAGAACGGCACUGAGAGUAACUGUUCAGUGUGUGACGGUAUCUUACCAGAAAGGAACGGCUAAAUACGUGCCAGCAGCCGCGGUAAUACGUAUGUUCCAAGCGUUAUCCGGAUUUAUUGGGCGUAAAGCGAGCGCAGACGGUUAUUUAAGUCUGAAGUGAAAGCCCUCAGCUCAACUGAGGAAUGGCUUUGGAAACUGGAUGACUUGAGUGCAGUAGAGGAAAGUGGAACUCCAUGUGUAGCGGUGAAAUGCGUAGAUAUAUGGAAGAACACCAGUGGCGAAGGCGGCUUUCUGGACUGUAACUGACGUUGAGGCUCGAAAGUGUGGGUAGCAAACAGGAUUAGAUACCCUGGUAGUCCACACCGUAAACGAUGAGUGCUAGAUGUUCGAGGGUUUCCGCCCUUGAGUGUCGCAGCUAACGCAUUAAGCACUCCGCCUGGGGAGUACGACCGCAAGG